CUGCCAAGUGGCCUCUGGGACCUGAGGACAGCCUCCAGUGGACAGCCGGGAAGAUGCCAAGGCCCUCCGUACACAGCCGAGGCUAAGUCCCCAGGCAUAAAGGGAAGCACUGGACCAGAUAGAUUCACCGACAUGAGGCACCUGUGCAGCCUUGUGGGCAGCAGCAGCCAAGCAGCCAGUCCUGGCAGGGUCCUGGCCUUGCCCCACACGUUCCAUUCAAAGUUUUGGCAGUGGGGACCGACACCUGCACAACCAAGAUCACUUCCCUGUGGCUUUCGCAAAGCUAGUGUGGCUGCCUUGAGGCUAAAAGGAGGAAAAUAAAGCGAUGGAGGCCAGAAUAAAAGCAGGCAGAAGAACCUGGAAAGAUUAGACUGACUGAGUCUUCUGGACUCCAUCUUUCUCCAUGCUGGAUGCUUCCUGCCUUGGAACAUCGGAUUCCAGUGUUCUUCAGCUUUGGGACUCGGACUGGCUUCCUUACUCCUCAGCUUGCAGAUGGCCUAUUGUAGGACCCCACCUUGUGAUUACGUGAGUCAAUACUCCUUAAUAAACUUCCCUUUAUAAAGACUCAGCCUAGAGUUACUUUUGCAUAGUUUUCAAAAUCCCUUCUUCAAGACAGUCAAUGUUAUUUAUGAUUCUUUGAUAUCCAUAGCCCUUCUACAAAGCGUACUAUGCCUUCUUUAAUAAAGUGGAAUUCUAUGCCCUGUAAUUACUCUGUCUCUUUAUCUGUUGUCAUAUUUCCCAAUCUCUCAGACUCAUUUCUUGCUCAUCCGCUCUUUUUACUCUAUACUCAUUUCCCUUGAGGGUUUGCGAGAUUUAAUAAGCUGUUAUAGUGCCAGAUAUUAUGCUAGCAACAACAAUCCACAGAUAAAAAAGACAGAG
Molecule: long non-coding RNA, 879 nt
Filed under: Homo sapiens (human)
Lineage: Eukaryota; Metazoa; Chordata; Mammalia; Primates; Hominidae
Description: HSALNT0071405
Source: RNAcentral